This 896-nucleotide ribosomal RNA is filed under the name uncultured bacterium. Its description in RNAcentral is "bacterial SSU rRNA". It matches the Rfam family "Bacterial small subunit ribosomal RNA", at positions 9 to 919 of the family's 1533-position model. The record is from RNAcentral.
GAGUUUGAUCAUGGCUCAGGACGAACGCUGGCGGCGUGCCUAACACAUGCAAGUCGAACGGGAAUAUGAUUUCGGUUAUAUUUCAGUGGCGAACGGGUGAGUAACGCGUGAGCAACCUGACCUUCAGAGGGGGAUAACACUUGGAAACAGGUGCUAAUACCGCAUAAGACCACGACCCGACAUCGGGAUGAGGUCAAAGGAGCAAUCCGCUGAAGGAGGGGCUCGCGUCCCAUUAGAUAGAUGGCGGGGUAACGGCCCACCAUGUCGACGAUGGGUAGCCGAGCUGAGAGGCUGAUCGGCCACACUGGAACUGAGACACGGUCCAGACUCCUACGGGAGGCAGCAGUGGGGAAUAUUGGGCAAUGGGCGCAAGCCUGACCCAGCAACGCCGCGUGAGGGAAGAAGGCCUUCGGGUUGUAAACCUCUGUCCUUGGUGACGAAACAAAUGACGGUAGCCAAGGAGGAAGCCCCGGCUAACUACGUGCCAGCAGCCGCGGUAAUACGUAGGGGGCGAGCGUUGUCCGGAAUUACUGGGCGUAAAGGGUGCGUAGGUGGCCUUUUAAGUUGGAUGUGAAAUACCCGGGCUUAACUUGGGGGGUGCAUCUAAUACUGGAGGGCUAGAGUGCAGGAGAGGGAAGCGGAAUUCCUAGUGUAGCGGUGAAAUGCGUAGAUAUUAGGAGGAACACCAGUGGCGAAGGCGGCUUUCUGGACUGUAACUGACACUGAGGCACGAAAGCGUGGGGAGCAAACAGGAUUAGAUACCCUGUAGUCCACGCUGUAAACGAUGAAUACUAGGUGUAGGGGGUAUCAACUCCCCCUGUGCCGGAGCAAACGCAAUAAGUAUUCCGCCUGGGGAGUACGGCCGCAAGGUUGAAACUCAAAGGAAUUGACGGGGG